Homo sapiens (human) is the source of this 2332-nucleotide long non-coding RNA. RefSeq lists it as uncharacterized. The record is from RefSeq and is a predicted model, not a curated record. The transcript has 5 exons. Lineage: Eukaryota; Metazoa; Chordata; Mammalia; Primates; Hominidae.
GGUCUCCAUGGAGACAUAAAUGCCCAAGUAACUGAUGCUACUACCUGGAGGGACUCACCUUUACCAACACCAAGGGAGCCAGCCCUGAGAGUUCAUGCCAAGUCAUCUUUCUCCUGCUUUGUUCCCUGGAACUGAUAAACUGCUGCUUCGAAAAACCAGAAGGCCUUGCCUCUAUUUUGUUUUCAGUUCUACUCCCUAAGAGCCUCAGCAUAAAUAUGAGAGGAGAUAAAGGGAAAGUUAAGAAACUUCUGUUAGCAUUCUGAUGUUCAAACCCAAGUCUUGAUCUUCCUGUUGAGGGCCAUCCAAGAGCACCAUGAUGAAGUGGAAAGAGAUUGUUCACAAGAAUGAUCACUUACAGAAGACUGAGCCCAAGGCCCUUGCUGAUGGAUUCCCAGACUUAUAUGCAUCCGAGAUUGAAGAACUUAAACAUCUUGCCCUUGCCAUGACCACAAAUCAGAGAGUAAUAAAAUUUAAUGUCCAUGGACUUUGACCUUCAAAAGACCAAAGACAGGCUGUUUCAAGAACGCGGUCUUGAACAAUUUGUUGACAUCUUCACAAAAGAAAAAUAAUUCUCUAAAUCAGUAACUGAGUCUCCGGAAGGUUUCUUCUUGGAAACCCCCACAUAGUCUCAUGAGCACCUACAAUGACAGAAAGGGAAAUUUAGAGAAUGAAGAGAAAACUUCUAAGAUGUUCGUAGAAUGCUUCAGGGAAGAGGUUUGAUAAUGAGCUGUUCAUGAAAGAUUGAACUCAUGAAACUGGGGAUAAGGAAGACAGUCUCGGAGGGGAAAAUGGCACAAGCAAACGUGUGGAGGAAAUGCAAGUGUGAAGAAUGGGCAUCACCAAUUCUUACAUGAGUGAUCACCUCAGGGUGUGUCAACUUACCUUGGGCUUCUGCAAAACAGUCAAGAAAACUGCUUUUUAUUAUUUUCUGUUUUCUGAAUCAGCAACUCUGUCACAAGCUAGAAGUCCCUGUAUUAUUCUUCAUUCUAUUACUUUUCAUGUAAGACUUGAAAACUCUUGGGAGCCUUGGUCUACUAAUUCAUAUGUCAUGUUUGAGUUACAUUUUAGAAAUAGCAAAUACACUUGAGGCAAACAGGCCCUAGUUUUGUUUUGUUUGUCUUCUCCUCACUGAAAUUAAAUUAAAAUCUAUACCUUUCCUCUGAUGUUAGUAACCUCUUUGUUUUGUUUCUUUAAUAAAGAGAAAAACACUAUUCACAACCGCAGUCCCAAAACAAUCUCCAGGGAUUAUCUAAGCAACGCACUUGUUUCCAGGCAUUAGUGCACUUAUUGUAUUAAUAUUUCAUAAACAACAUAAUACUACUGAUAAUUAGUAGUCUUAUAAAUGAAUAACAACUUUGAAUAAUCUGGUCUUAACAUAAUAACUUGAAGUUAACUGAGCUCAUUAAGUUAUAAUAAUUUAGGCAGAGAUUUUCUAUUUACAUGACAAGGAUUAGGAAGCCUUUACCUUUAAGCUAAUACAUGAAUAUGAGAAAUCAGUUUUGAAAGGAUGAUUAUCAUUAUUGGUAUUAUUACUAACACUGAAGAUUUACACAAAUCAUAGCAUGUAGAACCUUUAUAAAGAAAAGGUUCAUUCAAAAUUUAAAGGGCAAUGCCCAGUUAGUUUCAGCGUAUUUACAUCUUCCAGGCCUGCACAUAUGGACACUUAAUGCCAGGAAGGGAACAAGCUGUGUGGAAAGAAAAAAGCUUGACCUUGUAUCAGUCACUCACUAGCUGUUUGACCCCUAGCAAUUAACCUAAAUUUUCUGAGCCUCAGUUUUCUUGAAUGUGAAGUAGAGAUCAAAGUGCCUAUCACAUAGUUGUGAUAAGAGGAUUGGGUGACAUGAAGUCUAUAAAGUUGCUGCAGAGAACCCACACAAGCAAGCAUUCUGGGAGACACUUUUUUUCUGAAAUUGAUAGUAAUCAAUGUUCACGUCUCUAAAAUGGUAACUCACUCUAACAACCUAUUUCCAGGGUUGCAUGUGUGUUCUAGGUUGAUUUAUGUACAGUUUCUCCAGCUCUGAGCCAGUGCAAACAUGGCUGAGGCCUUUGUACCUCCUUUCACUACUUGAAGUGUUAACUCCCACUGGACUGGGAAUCACAAUUGCAUUGCCUGAUGGCUGGUAAUGCGCUUUAGAUACAAACUUAGAGACAUUUUUCACCUUCUGGAACAACAACAAAAAAUACUGAAAACGGUGCUGGUGAAAGGAAUCUUCCUCAUAAUCGAAUUUGAAGCGAUCUUUUCCAGAGGAUUCACGAAUGGCCCAGUGUUGUUUGCUCUGCAUAGUGAUAUGCAUUGUUCCACCAAACAUGGUUUGUUUUAUUUCUUACUUAU